UACGGAGGGUGCAAGCGUUAUUCGGAUUUAUUGGGCGUAAAGAGCGUGUAGGCGGUUGGGUUAGUCAGAUGUGAAAUCCUUCUGCUCAACGGAAGAAGUUCGUCUGAAACUGCCCAACUUGAGUACGAGAGAGGAAAGUGGAAUUCCCAGUGUAGAGGUGAAAUUCGUAGAUAUUGGGAGGAACACCCGUGGCGAAGGCGACUUUCUGGAUCGAUACUGACGCUGAGACGCGAAAGCGUGGGGAGCAAACAGG
This 253-nucleotide ribosomal RNA is filed under the name uncultured bacterium. RNAcentral's name for it is "partial 16S ribosomal RNA". It matches the Rfam family "Bacterial small subunit ribosomal RNA", at positions 524 to 776 of the family's 1533-position model. The record is from RNAcentral.